This 510-nucleotide ribosomal RNA is filed under the name uncultured bacterium. Its description in RNAcentral is "partial 16S ribosomal RNA". It matches the Rfam family "Bacterial small subunit ribosomal RNA", at positions 28 to 507 of the family's 1533-position model. The record is from RNAcentral.
GACGAACGCUGGCGGCGUGCUUAACACAUGCAAGUCGAACGAAGAGCGAUGGACGCUUGCUUCUAUCAAUCUUAGUGGCGAACGGGUGAGUAACGCGUAAUCAACCUGCCCUUCAGAGGGGGACAACAGUUGGAAACGACUUCUAAUACCCCAUACGCUCUAACCUCGGCAUCGCGGACAGAUGAAAGGUGGCCUCUACAUGUAAGCUAUCACUGAAGGGGGGGAUUGCGUCUGAUUAGCUAGUUGGAGGGGUAACGGCCCACCAAGGCGGUGAUCAAGAGGCUGUCGGGGAGGAAGAACGGGCCCAAUGGGAAUGAGAAUAGGCCCAGGACUCUAAGGGGAGGAGCAGUGGGGGAUCUUUCGACAUGGAGGGAAGGCUGAAGGAACAACGCCGGGGGGGGGAUGACGGGCUUCGGGUUGGAAAGCUCUGUUAAUCGGGAAGGAAGGCCUUCGUGCGAAUAGUUAGAAGGAUUGACGGUACCGGAAGAGAAAGCCACGGCUAACUACGUG